Molecule: ribosomal RNA, 253 nt
Filed under: uncultured bacterium
Lineage: Bacteria
Description: partial 16S ribosomal RNA
Rfam family: Bacterial small subunit ribosomal RNA
Source: RNAcentral
UACGGAGGGUGCGAGCGUUAUCCGGAUUCACUGGGUUUAAAGGGUGCGUAGGCGGGUUAGUAAGUCAGUGGUGAAAUCCCCGAGCUUAACUUGGGAACUGCCGUUGAUACUAUUAGUCUUGAAUAUCGUGGAGGUAAGCGGAAUAUGUCAUGUAGCGGUGAAAUGCUUAGAUAUGACAUAGAACACCAAUUGCGAAGGCAGCUUGCUACACGAUUAUUGACGCUGAGGCACGAAAGCGUGGGGAUCAAACAGG